Non-coding RNA from Serratia sp. Leaf50, 149 nucleotides. The record is from Rfam. Lineage: Bacteria; Pseudomonadati; Pseudomonadota; Gammaproteobacteria; Enterobacterales; Yersiniaceae.
GAGAAGCUGAAAUACACAUGUUUAAAUUCACCCGUCUACUAGGCCUACUACUCAACGCAGAAAAAUUGCGCGGUAUGCCAGUGGGUGAAAAUCAGAACUGAUUCCAGCCUCCACAGUCAGCAAACCCGCGCAAAUGCGCGGGUUUUUUU